AUGGGGGAACCCUGAUGCAGCCAUGCCGCGUGUGUGAAGAAGGCCUUCGGGUUGUAAAGCACUUUCAGUUGUGAGGAAAGGUUGGUAGUUAAUACCUGCCAGCUGUGACGUUAACAACAGAAGAAGCACCGGCUAACUCCGUGCCAGCAGCCGCGGUAAUACGGAGGGUGCGAGCGUUAAUCGGAAUUACUGGGCGUAAAGCGCACGCAGGCGGUUUGUUAAGCUAGAUGUGAAAGCCCCGGGCUCAACCUGGGAUGGUCAUUUAGAACUGGCAGACUAGAGUCUUGGAGAGGGGAGUGGAAUUCCAGGUGUAGCGGUGAAAUGCGUAGAUAUCUGGAGGAACAUCAGUGGCGAAGGCGACUCCCUGGCCAAAGACUGACGCUCAUGUGCGAAAGUGUGGGUAGCGAACAGGAUUAGAUACCCUGGUAGUCCACACCGUAAACGCUGUCUACUAGCUGUGUGUGCCUUUAAGGCGUGCGUAGCGAAGCUAACGCGCUAAGUAGACCGCCUGGGGAGUACGGCCGCAAGGUUAAAACUCA
RNAcentral lists this ribosomal RNA (539 nucleotides) under Alteromonas sp. MED113. RNAcentral's name for it is "bacterial SSU rRNA". It matches the Rfam family "Bacterial small subunit ribosomal RNA", at positions 371 to 903 of the family's 1533-position model. The record is from RNAcentral. Lineage: Bacteria; Pseudomonadati; Pseudomonadota; Gammaproteobacteria; Alteromonadales; Alteromonadaceae.